CGACUGAAUAAAUACGAAGGACCAUAAAAAUGCUUCCAAUUUUUGCAGCUACAUUCAAUAAUACACAACCUGUUCUCAUAAUAUGAUUCAGAUACAAAGACAAGGCCUGAACCUGAAACUCUGCACUAAAAAUUUCGAGGCCUUGCAAACUAACAGCUGAGUUAGAAAUAACAAGGUUUUAUUUUUCAUAAGGAAUAUAAACAAAAAUGAUUACCCAAUAAGAAUAAUGAAAAUAAUUGCGAUAACGGUGAUACUCAACACAAAAUAAUAGAACUACUAAUAUUCUUCAUUGUUAAAUCCUUUAAGCAAACGGAUUUCCACCAACAGAAGCAACAGGUCCUUGAGUUUGGACAUUCCCUAAUUGAGGGCUUGGUGCUUGUCCUGCCAUGUAUGCCAAGCUACCUACAGCAACAAGGAGAGUUAGAUUGGGUGAAGCAAAAUAUCAUUGCCAGACAUGUUUUAAAUGAUUCCACAGUUUCCCACCCUUACACGCAAAAAUGCUUCAAAUUCCUGAGGAAUUAACAUAGCUCUGGCAAUAACAGUCCCUGAAUUACAACAGCUAAAAAACAAACAUAAAGUUACACUGGCAAGAAUCAACAAAAAAUUAACCUUGUGGUGCAGCUGGAAUAUAAGUUGCAACUGGAUCUUGAGGAAACCAUGGUUCAGUCACACCACCAAGGAAGGUUGAUGGCAAGUGAGCAUUAGGCAAAGCAGUUUGCAAUGAACUAAUAUCCAAGAACAUAUUGCCUGGCUCCAAAUCAGAAUCAUAUGGAAGAUCAAAUGGGUUAGUUGAUUUAUGAUUGAUUGUGUAUGGUUGAGGCGCUUCCUGUAAAAAGAAAAUAGAUUUAUUACCAGAUAAAUACUCUAACUAAACUCAAAAGGCAUAAGGCUGAUGCAAGAGUAUGAACCCUCAUAGGAUUCUCUGAAGGAGUAUAUGUUGGCUCCAGGACAUUGUCCAAUGGUCCAUUCAGACCAGAGAGUCCUUCACACAGAGCAGCUCCUUGAAUCCCAUAUUUACUAGGGUCCUGCAAAACAAAUUUUGAGUGCAAAUUGAUGAAAGAAAUAUCUUGAAGCUUUUGAGGUAAAUGCAACCUCUGAAGCCUUCAAUCCCAAAUACUGGUCAGCAGUUGAUGAAGGCACGUGCACUGCUACUUGUGGUUGACUAACUUGAUUACUGCCCUCUAAAGGAAGGCGAGUAAUAGAAUUGUCAAAAGCAUUCCAUGUCUGAGCACUACCUGUGUUACCAGAAGCUUGAAGAUUGUGCAAAUCAUUGUGCCAGGGACUAGGCACUGAUGAUGACCCUUGGGCAGUAGAGUUCUGAAAUGGUGGCCACUGCAUGCCUGUAUCCAAAGAUGAAACCUGAUCAAGCUUUGCUGAAGAAUCUACAUUUGAAGGUACCAUUGAGGGUGCAAGAUUUCCAGUCCCUAAAGUGGAUGCCAUGGGCUGAGUAUCAAAAGUAGCCCAUCCUUCAUUUUUAGGGACUGAUGACUCUGGUAAAUUUUGGUUCAAGCUAGUAACUGAUUGCUGCUGAACAAUCCCACCAAAGAGAUCAAUAGAUGAGGAAACAGAAGUUUGGGUGGUUUGAUAUGCAUUCAACGAUGAAGCUGGAUCCAAAGGUGCCUGAAACAAAUUGAUAGAUGAUGCUGGUGAUGCUGCUGGCAAUUGAAACAAAUCCAUUGGUGAAGAUCCAGAAGCACUUGAUUCUGGAAAAACAGGUGCCUUAAAAUGAUCCAAGCUACCACAACUCUCAGAAGUUGAUAAUAACUGUGGAAAUGUAGGCAUUCUAUCCUGGCAAUCUCCAUUAGCACACUCAGGCUCUGAGACAGCAUCUGGUAAAUUACCAGAAUUAUAUGACUUCAAAGAUUCAGAAUUGCUAUCAAAUGAUCCAACACUUCCUAAAGACGUAGCUCUCUGUCGACGUGGAAACCCAUCUGCAUCUCUCUUAAAGUUUUCCUCUGAAAAUUGAUCUAUUCUUUGAUGAUGUCCAUUUUCACCUGAAUUAUCCCUUGGAGUCUGAAUAGUCUGAAAAUUUGGCAACUCUCUACCGAUCGGAUCACCCCUACUAGAUACAGAAUAGUCUGAAACCCUGGACACAGAGCCCUCAUUUGCAAAACUGUCCUCAAACAUUCUUUCAUUUAAGCGAGUAGGACUGCAAAUAAAACUAGACAUCUUCCCGACAUAAAGGCCUCGAUCAGAACCAGGUUUACGUGUCAGAACAGCAGCUUGCUUUCCAUAACGUCGAUCUUCAUACUGGAAGUCAUAAGGAGGACUUUGAGAAUAUGAAUGAUAAGAGCUUGCACGCCUAGUCUCAUCUUCAGGGCUUCUAAGCCUCUGCAAAUCCCUAGGAGGCUUGUCAUGGGUCUUUCCACCAGCAUAUCUUUUAUCAACAUAUACAGUCUUUAUAAAUUCUCGCACUUUGUCAACAUUGCUUCAGGAAGAAAUCAUUAUUAGAGAAGUUCCAUGUUUGUCAUAUAUAUGCAUUGCAAAAUAGCAAAAGAACAAGCAUCUUGCACCUGUUAUCAGGCAAUCUCUGCCUCUGUUGGUCCCAAUCCCUCAAGUACAUGUCCCUUGCACGCUGAUUACCACCAUUUUGAAGUGCUUCAACUUCUUGAGAUGUGAACUUGGACAUUGACACAGACUUUACACGAUGAGUGAACUCCCGAUGUAUCCCACUACAAGUCAUACAAAUGAAAGUCCAGAAAUUAAUACAAACAUACUGCGGACCCAAGCUAUUGCAGUUGAUGCAGCGACGAUUAGGUGGCAGCUUCAUGAGACCUCUAAUAAUCUUCUCGUUACGUUCUUCUUCCUUUUUACUCCCCAUUUCUCUACAGAUUCAAAACCUAUGAACCACAAACCAAAGAAAACAGAGCUUUUUUGGACCUCAAAACCCAAAAAUAUUCAAAAGACAAAACCCAAAAAAAAAAAUCUAGGGUUUGAAUGGGGUUUUUGAAUUCUGGUAUUAGAUGAACAGUCUCUAAAAAAUAAGCUCGAUUGAGACCACGAAAGACGAAACCACGCACUCUCUCUCUCUCCUCGCGUCUUUUGUUCAUAAAUUAACAUAAAAAAAAGGUCGCUUUUGUUAAUUAUAAAAAACAAAAUAAUUGAAAUGAAUCUCUAUGUAAUUAUUGGCUGUUCUUUAAAGAAAGCUUGUAGAACUAUAAUUGCAACGUCUUUAUCGAUCAUGGCGACGCUGCCGACUGGCAAGAGGAAUUUGCUGCUUCCACGAAGAUGGAGGCGUGAGGUGGUGGUGAGGUGGCACCUUCGAAUUUGACGCUGGUCGUUUGGUG
RNAcentral lists this unclassified non-coding RNA (3287 nucleotides) under Hevea brasiliensis (rubber tree). Lineage: Eukaryota; Viridiplantae; Streptophyta; Magnoliopsida; Malpighiales; Euphorbiaceae. The record is from RNAcentral.